AGAAGAUUCAUGAAAAUAAGAAGGUGCAGCUAAAAUCGACCGCGUUGCCUAAAGGAGUUAGGAUGAGGAAAUGGGGGAAAUAUGCAGCUGAGAUCAGAGAUCCCUCGCAGGGGAAAAGAAUAUGGUUAGGGACUUUUGAGACUGUGGAGGCGGCUUCACAAGCAUACGAGGCAAAGAGGGCUGAAUUUGAUAGGAUUAUUUCAUUGGGGAAGGGUAAGAAUUUGAGCCCUGGUCCUGCUGAGUGUUCUAUGGCGUGUACGUCUCAUCCUACAAAUGGGAAAAAUCGUGUGUACUCACACCCUUCCCCGUCUUCGGUGCUAGAUGUCCCCACAUCAUCAGCUGCUGCCCCGGUUGAGUCCAA
Molecule: unclassified non-coding RNA, 361 nt
Filed under: Hevea brasiliensis (rubber tree)
Lineage: Eukaryota; Viridiplantae; Streptophyta; Magnoliopsida; Malpighiales; Euphorbiaceae
Source: RNAcentral